AUUGAACGCUGGCGGCAGGCCUAACACAUGCAAGUCGAGCGGAGCGGCGGAGGGGAGAGUAAUGCCUAGGAAUCUGCCUGGUAGUGGGGGAUAACGUCCGGAAACGGGCGCUAAUACCGCAUACUUUCAGAUGAGCCUAGGUCGGAUUGGCUAGUUGGUGGGGUAAAGGCCUACCAAGGCGAUGAUCCGUAACUGGGCUGAGAGGAUGAUCAGUCACGCUGGAUCUGAGACACGGUCCAGCCCCCUGCGAGAGGGAGCAGUGGGGAAUAUUGGACAAUGGGCGCAGUGCGGAACCAUCCACGCCGCGUGUGUGAAGAAGGUCUUCGGAUUGUGAAACACUUUAAGUUUUGAGGCGGUACCAACAGAAUAAGCACCGGCUAACUUCGUGCCAGCAGCCGCGGUAAUUC
RNAcentral lists this ribosomal RNA (407 nucleotides) under uncultured bacterium. RNAcentral's name for it is "partial 16S ribosomal RNA". It matches the Rfam family "Bacterial small subunit ribosomal RNA", at positions 30 to 526 of the family's 1533-position model. The record is from RNAcentral.